UGGCUCAGUUGGUAAAGAAUCUGCCUGCAAUGCAGGAGACCCGGGUUCAAUUCCUGG
RNAcentral lists this transfer RNA (57 nucleotides) under Bos indicus (zebu cattle). It matches the Rfam family "tRNA", at positions 8 to 63 of the family's 71-position model. From Rfam's summary of the family: Transfer RNA (tRNA) molecules are approximately 80 nucleotides in length. Their secondary structure includes four short double-helical elements and three loops (D, anti-codon, and T loops). The record is from Rfam by way of RNAcentral. RNAcentral also lists the same sequence under 4 other names. Lineage: Eukaryota; Metazoa; Chordata; Mammalia; Artiodactyla; Bovidae.